UACGUAGGGGGCUAGCGUUGUCCGGAAUCAUUGGGCGUAAAGCGCGCGUAGGCGGCCCGGUAAGUCCGCUGUGAAAGUCGGGGGCUCAACCCUCGAAUGCCGGUGGAUACUGUCGGGCUAGAGUGCGGAAGAGGCGAGUGGAAUUCCUGGUGUAGCGGUGAAAUGCGCAGAUAUCAGGAGGAACACCUAUUGCGAAGGCAGCUCGCUGGGACGUAACUGACGCUGAGACGCGAAAGCGUGGGGAGCAAACAGG
RNAcentral lists this ribosomal RNA (253 nucleotides) under uncultured bacterium. RNAcentral's name for it is "partial 16S ribosomal RNA". It matches the Rfam family "Bacterial small subunit ribosomal RNA", at positions 524 to 776 of the family's 1533-position model. The record is from RNAcentral.